Molecule: ribosomal RNA, 253 nt
Filed under: uncultured bacterium
Lineage: Bacteria
Description: partial 16S ribosomal RNA
Rfam family: Bacterial small subunit ribosomal RNA
Source: RNAcentral
UACGAAGGGGGCUAGCGUUGCUCGGAAUCACUGGGCGUAAAGCGCACGUAGGCGGAUCUUUAAGUCAGGGGUGAAAUCCUGGAGCUCAACUCCAGAACUGCCUUUGAUACUGGGGAUCUCGAGUCCGGAAGAGGUGAGUGGAACUCCGAGUGUAGAGGUGAAAUUCGUAGAUAUUCGGAAGAACACCAGUGGCGAAGGCGGCUCACUGGUCCGGCACUGACGCUGAGGUGCGAAAGCGUGGGGAGCAAACAGG